AUGUAGAGGAGGGAUCAUAUAUAGCAGAUGCAGAAGCCAGUAGAUAUGAGAGAUUAGCCUGAAUUAUUCAGGUGGGCCCAGUGUAAUCACAAGACUUCUUAAAAGAUGGAAGAGGAAGAAAAAUCAGUGUCAGGGGAUGCAAAGUGAAAAAAACCUCAACUUACUGUUUCUGGAUUUGUCAGAAGGGGGCCAAAGAAUAUGGGCAGCCUCUAGAGGCUAAAAAGAGCAGGCAGGUGUGGCUGGCUGGCCUAACAGCCUAGGAAGCUGAUUCCUCUUGGAGGGGCAGCAAACACCAGUCUGCCUUUGAGAUCUGCUGAACCACAAGGAGACUGCACUUCACUCUCUCCAUGGACACCCAGACAAGCUCUUUUCAAUGAGAGCUUCCACCUCCUAUCAUUGUUCAAGCUCCUACCUUUAAAAAAAAAUACAUAUUUAUUUUUGGCUGCACUGGAUUUUUGUUGCUGUGGGAGCGCUUUCUCUAGUUGCCGUGAGCAGGAGCCGCUCUCUAGUUACGGUGGCUUCUCUUGCUGUGGAGCACAGGCUCUAGGCUUGUGGCCUUCAGGAGUUGCAGCCUAUGGGCUCGGAGGUUGUGGUGCAUCAGCUUAGCUGACUGGAGGCAUGUGGGAUCCUCCCGGAUCAGGGGUUGAAUCUGCAUCUCCUGCACCAGGUGGACUCCUAAUCACUGGACCACCAGCGAAGCCCCGAAGCUCCUACUUGGUGAACUUCCUUGGAUCUCAUGAAAACGCUUAGGAAUUAUUCCAAACUGCCAAUUGAAGGCCUCAACUAGAGGCUGAAGUUGCUGGAGGUCCUCCUCCAAAAGGCCAAGAGAGGAAGGAGCAAGGAAAGGGAAGAGUUCAAAACCAAACCAAACCACAAAAUAGCAGCUCUUCCUGUGGAAAUGUAGUGCUUUCCCCCUUAUUUUAAUAAUAUAAUUAUCAAGGUUAUCCAAAUAUUCAUUAUUGGAGUCCUUGUAGUUAGAAGAUUGUGGAGGGACAUGAAAGCCAUGAUAACACAAAAAUAUUUGUUCAUGAACACCCACCAUAAAUCCCACAAAGCCCUUUUUGGCUCAGUCUUCUGAUGACUGGGAUAUUAUAAACAUCUGACAGGACAAUGCAAGCUAUGCAAAUCUGUUUCAAAGUCAAAUUUCAAAUCUUGCAAAAGAUCAAGAAGAAUGAAGUUGGAAAAUUGCUCAAAUCAUAGCAAUGAAAAAUAGGGGCAUGACGGAGGUGCACCAGUUAACAACAGGAAAAAUUAAGAAUCAGCAGAGAUAGUGACCCCAGAGACACUUCAAAGGGAAACAUACACCUAUCAACCACUAUGAGAAGCCUUUGGGAAAACUCAUGAAGCACUUGCAUACUUUUGGAUAAAUGUCCUUUCAAAUAAGAUUGGCCAUGAAAGUAAAAUACAAAGCAAAAAAGGCAGUGCUGUUGUACAAAUAUUUUGAAAUUUUUUUCCCCAAAAUGAAUGGCUCGUCUUUUUCAGUCUAAGAUUGUGUAUUUGUAAUUAUAACUGAAAUUGCAUUUAGUAUAAGAUUUUAAAAGCUUAAUUUCAUAAUUUUCAGUUUUAUUUCUCAAGUUCAAGCCCCAAACAACCCUUUCUCCCACCUUCUGUUUGUUGUAAAUGUUCUGUCUUAAGUAGUUUCCUAUUAAGAGGUUGUACCAGAAUUAUACAGUAAUGAAGACCUUCUGCUCCUAAAACCCCAGUCUGAAGUACAUUCUUUGCAUAUGGAGAGCUUCUUUGAGAUCAGAACCAAAGGAGACACUUGAUUGACACCUGCAUGACCCAGAGGGUCACUAUGGGGAAUCCCAGGACCCGGUCUCAGGGAUCCCCACUAUGAGAUUUUAAGUGACACACACACAAAAUGUAUAUCCCCUGUAUUAUUAUUAUUAUUUUUUAAUGUCUGUUAUUUGCAUCUUCUCUGCCUGGAAACCAAACUUCCUCCCUGUUCAGUGAAAUACCAGGUGCUGGUCUUCCCUGCUGGAGGCCCCUUCCUGGCUUCCCAGUCUCUGCCCAGCCUUAGCCUUGAAGGCCUCUGAGGCAGAAGGAGGAUUCCAGCCCCCAAAAAAUGACGAAACACCGGACGCCCAGC
This is a long non-coding RNA of Bos taurus (domestic cattle), 2089 nucleotides long. The record is from Ensembl. NCBI's taxonomy places the organism in Eukaryota, Metazoa, Chordata, Mammalia, Artiodactyla, Bovidae.